UCAGGACGAACGCUGGCGGCGUGCUUAACACAUGCAAGUCGAGCGGAAAGGCCCUUCGGGGUACUCGAGCGGCGAACGGGUGAGUAACACGUGAGUAACCUGCCCCUGACUCUGGGAUAAGCCCGGGAAACUGGGUCUAAUACCGGAUACGACACCUCCUGGCAUCGGGUGGGUGUGGAAAGUUUUUUCGGUUGGGGAUGGACUCGCGGCCUAUCAGCUUGUUGGUGGGGUAAUGGCCUACCAAGGCGACGACGGGUAGCCGGCCUGAGAGGGCGACCGGCCACACUGGGACUGAGACACGGCCCAGACUCCUACGGGAGGCAGCAGUGGGGAAUAUUGCGCAAUGGGCGAAAGCCUGACGCAGCGACGCCGCGUGGGGGAUGACGGCCUUCGGGUUGUAAACCUCUUUCAGCAGGGACGAAGUUGACGUGUACCUGCAGAAGAAGCGCCGGCUAACUACGUGCCAGCAGCCGCGGUAAUACGUAGGGCGCAAGCGUUGUCCGGAAUUAUUGGGCGUAAAGAGCUCGUAGGUGGCUUGUCACGUCGGGUGUGAAAGCUUGGGGCUUAACUCCAGGUCUGCAUUCGAUACGGGCUGGCUAGAGGUAGGUAGGGGAGAACGGAAUUCCUGGUGUAGCGGUGAAAUGCGCAGAUAUCAGGAGGAACACCGGUGGCGAAGGCGGUUCUCUGGGCCUUACCUGAC
RNAcentral lists this ribosomal RNA (700 nucleotides) under Streptosporangium sp. L1745. Its description in RNAcentral is "bacterial SSU rRNA". It matches the Rfam family "Bacterial small subunit ribosomal RNA", at positions 24 to 744 of the family's 1533-position model. Lineage: Bacteria; Bacillati; Actinomycetota; Actinomycetes; Streptosporangiales; Streptosporangiaceae. The record is from RNAcentral.